This is a non-coding RNA of Caerostris darwini, 112 nucleotides long. Lineage: Eukaryota; Metazoa; Arthropoda; Arachnida; Araneae; Araneidae. The record is from the annotation of a GenBank genome assembly.
AACGGCCGUACCAUGCUGAAUAUACCGUCUCUUGAUAGAUCACCGAAGUCAAGCAUCAUUGGGCGCGGUCAGUACUUGGGUGGGUGACCACCUGGGAACACUGCGUGCCGUU